GAUGAACGCUAGCGGGAGGCCUAACACAUGCAAGCCGAGCGGUAUAGAAUCUUCGGAUUUUAGAGAGCGGCGUACGGUGCGGAACACGUGUGCAACCUACCUUUAUCUGGAGGAUAGCCUUUCGAAGGAAGAUUAAUACUCCAUAAUAUAUUGAUUGGCAUCAAUUAAUAUUGAAAGCUCCGGCGGAUAGAGAUGGGCACGCGCAAGAUUAGUUAGUUGGUGAGGUAACGGCUCACCAAGACGAUGAUCUUUAGGGGGCCUGAGAGGUGAUCCCCCACACUGGUACUGAGACACGGACCAGACUCCUACGGGAGGCAGCAGUGAGGAAUAUUGGACAAUGGGUGCAAGCCUGAUCCAGCCAUCCCGCGUGAAGGACGACUGCCCUAUGGGUUGUAAACUUCUUUUGUAUAGGGAUAAACCUCUCCUCGUGAGGAGAGCUGAAGGUACUAUACGAAUAAGCACCGGCUAACUCGUGCCAGCAGCCGCGGUAAU
Molecule: ribosomal RNA, 492 nt
Filed under: uncultured bacterium
Lineage: Bacteria
Description: bacterial SSU rRNA
Rfam family: Bacterial small subunit ribosomal RNA
Source: RNAcentral